Molecule: ribosomal RNA, 261 nt
Filed under: uncultured prokaryote
Description: partial 16S ribosomal RNA
Rfam family: Bacterial small subunit ribosomal RNA
Source: RNAcentral
UACGGAGGAUGCGAGCGUUAUCCGGAUUUAUUGGGUGUAAAGGGAGCGUAGGCGGACUUUUAAGUGAGAUGUGAAAUACCCGGGCUCAACUUGGGUGCUGCAUUUCAAACUGGAAGUCUAGAGUGCAGGAGAGGAGAAUGGAAUUCCUAGUGUAGCGGUGAAAUGCGUAGAGAUUAGGAAGAACACCAGUGGCGAAGGCGAUUCUCUGGACUGUAACUGACGCUGAGGCUCGAAAGUGUUGGGAGCAAACAGGAUUAGAUA